Molecule: non-coding RNA, 91 nt
Submitted as: unclassified sequences
Source: Rfam
CGAUCGGGAGGCCCGCGGUGGGACGCGGGCCGAGCAUGGAUCGCCCCGCCGUCUCCGAUGGACGCGCAGCUGUGGCCCGGCAGCGCGCGCG